Molecule: long non-coding RNA, 15813 nt
Filed under: Durio zibethinus
Lineage: Eukaryota; Viridiplantae; Streptophyta; Magnoliopsida; Malvales; Malvaceae
Description: long non-coding RNA (DZIB_LNC000064)
Source: RNAcentral
UUUGUGGUCCAGGAAGGCUGGUGAACUCCAUGAUGGACCUUCAUCAAGGUGCUUUGAUGCUCCUAGGCCCGACCAUGAACGCCAAGGUUGCCUUCGAACUCUCUGAAAGGAUCCCUCACUUGGGCCUACGAAUGAAGGAGCACAGUCGCAGAGCCAUGGAUUAUGCCGCUAGAAUGAAGAAAUUGGGAUUCAGGGUGAUCUACCCGGGCCUUGAGGAUCACCCUCAACACGAGCUGUUGAAGUCCAUGGCCAACAAGGAAUAUGGGUUUGGUGGUCUUCUUUGUGUUGACAUGGAAUCUGAAGAAAGAGCUAACGGGCUGAUGGACCACUUGCAAAACUACAGUCAAUUUGGGCUCAUAGCGGUUAGCUUAGGUUACUAUGAGACUCUGAUGUCAUGCUCUGGUAGUAGCACCAGUAGUGAAAUGAAUGAUGAAGAGAAGGCACUUGCCGGUAUUUUGCCAGGGCUGGUGAGGAUGUCCAUUGGAUAUAUUGGGACACUGGAGCAGAAGUGGAGCCAAUUAGAAAAGGCGCUAUCUAGGAUGCACGAUUCCACCUCAUUCAAUGAAAACUAAAGUUCUUUCAUCUCGUGUUCAAUAAUAAGUUUGCCGUAGUUUACGUAAAGAAGGUUUUAUUUUUGGUAUUUCAAUUGUUAAAGGCUGGACCUUUUGCGUAAUAUAAUGUUUUUUAGAAAAGGAAAAUAUAAACUUGAACUUCAACAAGUCUUCUCUAGAUGCAACAACUUAGAACAAAAGUGAAGAUAAAAUAUACCAUAAGUUGCGCUUUCUUUGCCGUUGAUUCUCUUUUCAAUUUGACUUUGCCCAUAUUCAACGUUGAGCUUUAUCAUCUUCCUAGAAUUUGUGUCCAAACGAAAGGUGGAGGAGAAGAAAAAGAAUCGCUGAGUCAGCUAUCCAGUGUCCAAACGUGAACCAAUGGUUUUUUCUUCUGUAAACAAUGUUCUUGCCGUCGGGCCCUGCAACUAUGGCAUGCUACAGCCCAAAGUUCACUAUUUUUAAGUGAAAGUCUGAAACACAAAACUCGUUCAGGCCAGUGUUUAGAAUCAACCAACUUUUGUUAAGAGUUAAAGGUAGCAGAAGUAAAGAUCAACUGAUCAAGCAAGUACUUAUCAUCAUCAAAAAAUCAUAUGAAGAGGGUCAGGACCAAGAAAACUGGGGUUCAAUAAAUUAUUUGCCAACCAAAUAUAUGGGCCAAAUAGAUGGGCUUCAUUUAACAAAAAUUUAUAUAUCAGAUUCCAUUGCCCUGACAGUUUUUUAUUGGGCUUACAACCCAAAGAAAUAAAGCUAAUCGAGGCUUUUCUUAGGACCAAUUCCUAUACCAGCAUUCAUCGAAGAGAAAAGGAUAUACGAAAAUAUGCUAAUGAUUAUAUUAAAAUGCUUUUUAAAAACUUAGCUUAGUCGAAUUCAACCGAUAUUAACAUGACAGAUUUAAAUAUAAUAAUGGAGGCUUGUCAAACGUGUUUAUUUUUUGGGAAAAAAAAUUCAAAAAUGGCAUAGAUACAUUAGUUAUAUUUUUUGAUUAAAUGGCAAUUUUAUUUAUCCAAGAAGUAAGAAAGAUAAACUUGCUACAAAAAAAUUCAUCAAGUAUAAUGGGUACCAGCUAUUAUAUAUGUACAGAUAAAGAAUUACAAAGUUCAUAGUGUAUAAAAAGUUUCCGAAUUAUAAUUAAAAAUUAUUUAAUUUUUAUUUAAUUUUUAUUGUAAUUAAUCAACUCCUUCAAUAUUUAUUUGCAUCUAAUUAAAUUUUUAUUUAGUUGAAAAAGUUGACAUCGUUAGUUAUUUUUGUGAAAUAAGAUAAACUUUUAUUUGACAUCAAUAAAAUUGAUAAGAAUAUGUCACAUGAGACAUUUACAUUAAGAAUAUUAGGAUCACUUACAUUAGUGUAAGUUUUGCAUUUGUUUAACUUUUAGAUCAAAAUUAAAUCCAUGUCUAUUUUGAAUUCUUUUGUCUUAACUAUUUAGAUCAAUGAUAAAAAAAAAAUAAAAUUAAGUGGAUCUCUUUUUAUAUAUAAAAUUUUUCGUAUUCAAAAUUAUACUAUUAUAUAUGACUAUUUAAUGUUAAUAGAUCAAAGCGUUGAGAUUAAACUGUUUUUUCUCAUUUUUACUUAUUUAUCUUAUUCAUUGGAUCUAUUAAAAUUAAGAAAUAGAAAAUUUUGUAAAAUUAAAAAAAAUUUAACACUAUAUAAGUUAUACCUCCCUAUAUAUAUAUAUAUACAUUUACACUUGCAUCAUUUAUCUUCUUUAUUUAUUUAUUUUUGAAUGAAUUUAUUUUCUUUAUUUGUUUGUUUAUUUCCUAAAUUUAAAUCAUGAAAUUAAUUAUAUAUUGAAGCUAAUUACAAUAUUAUUUGUUUGACAGAAAUUUAAGUUGCGUCAUGCAUGCAUGAUUCAUGCAUGUGCCCAGCGUAUGAACAAAAAAGAAAUGAUUUCUGGUCUCAACAUACUCCAUCAUAAUUACAAUAUUAGUAGUAUUUCUUUAUGGCUUUGACGAAAAUGACAAACUCUUCUUUCCUUCCUUUAAGCCCUCGAAGGGAUAAAUGAACGUAUGGAGGUACAAAGCUGGAACUAAGAAGAGUUUCUCUUGCAUUUAUGAUCCAGGAUCGAUCUAAGACACUCAACCUUAAAAAAAAAAAAGAGGCGGUGGCCUGCUGGUUGAUCAGAUAAGAACACCCACUCACCGUUGUUGUCAACAAAUAACAAGUGUCCAUGGUUCUCAUUCGUCAGGAUUUUGAUGAAGGAAUUCAUAGCCCCACUUGGAUUGUGAUGUGCUUACAAUUUGCUCGGAAGGGGAUAUGAUUUUUCUUCUUUUUCAAUUUCUCACUCUUUUCAUUUUUUAACAAGGUUUUAUCAAUGAAAACGUGGCAUAUUGCAGUUGCAGAUCAUGUCCGAAUAAGUCAAGAUCCAAACCAGAAAAGAAAAGAAAAGAAAAGAAAGGGAAUUAAAAUCGUACUGGCAUUACAUAAGUUGGAAUGAAAGGAUAUUCCGUAGGGAAUUGAAAAUUCUCAAAAUAUAUUAGUUGUUAAAAUUAAUUUCAUUCAAAUUUUGGUUAAAAACAAAAGUCAAAAUAGAGACCACACAAAAACGACAAAACAACCUUGCAAUUAACAAACGACACUGUUAUGAAAAUUAAUCCUUUAAAUGUAUGGUUCUUUCCCCUGCUCGGCUUGGUGCUGAUGUGGUUGUCCAUAGUAUCUCCAAGUUUAUCAGCGGUGGGAGCGAUGUUAUUGCAGGUUGGUUUGUAGUAUGUGUCUCAUUUACGGUACACGCGUCAGACAUUAAUCUCAUUUUUUUACGCUGGAAAAACAGCCAUCGAUGACAUGUGUUUUCAGAGUUUUGGUGAAAACUGCCCACUUCCAAAGAAAAACCGAAAAUACUAUGAAUUGAGGAUUCAGAAUCAUAAAAUAAAAUGGGUAAGGAAUAUAGUCAUGCACGUUCCAAAAGUUCGGAUUCAUUAAAGGCAAACGAUCGAAUAUGAUUCUGGUAUGAAUAUAAAAACUCUAAAUAAUGGAUAGGAAAAUUGUUUUAGGGCUAGUGGGGGUGGGGGAGGGGAACUUUUCUCGUGAAUGAUGAUGCUAUUACGUACCGGUAACUUGCAAAGCAGGCAAAUAUUAUUCAAACACAAAUUCUCCUGUUUCUACUUUAAUAAAUAGAUUAAGCCAAUGUAUUAUAUAUAAAAUUAUGAUAAGAUAAAAUAAUAUUAUAAAUAAAAUAAAAUAAAAUAAUUUUAUUUUAUAUUUGAUAUGUGUAAAAAUUAUAAUAAAAUAAUUUAUUUAUUGAUCAAAUUAUUUUUUAAAAAAUUUUAUAUAGUUUAAAUUAUUAAUAUAAUUUUUAAAAAUAUAAUAAAAUAUAUAAAUUCAAUCUUAUAAAUUAAAAAUAAUUUUUUUACUUUAAAAAAAUUAAUUAUCUUACAUUAAAAAGACGAUGAUUUUUUUUAUAAUCAAAUUAUAGUUUUAAAUAUAAAUUAAAUAUAAUAAAAUAAUUAUCAUUUUAUUUUAUAUAUUAUUCUGUACAGCAAAUAUGACCUUGAUUCGUUUUCUAACUAUCUUUUUUAUGGCUGAUAAGGAUAUUCUCCUGCAGCUGCAACUUCACUAAUUUUUCAAAUUUUCACCGAUAAGGAUUCCAUCAUUGUCAGAGAAUCCUGGUAGUGUAGGCAAUAUUUUGUUAAUUCAAUAAAAUGGGAAUUUUCAGGUGCUGUUUAUGGUCCUGCAAGCCUGGUGAACUCCAUGAUGGACCUUCAUCAAGGUGCUCUGAUGCUCCUAGGCCAGACCAUGAACUCCAUGGUUGCCUUUGAGCCCUCUGAAAAGGAUCCCUCACUUGGGCCUUAAAUGAAGGAGCACAGUGGCAGAACCAUGGAUUAUGCCACUAGAAUGAAGAAACUGGGCCUCAGGGUGAUCUACCUGGGCCUUGAGGAUCAACCUCAAGACGAGCUAUUGAAGUCCAUGGCCAACAAGGAAUAUGGGUUUGGUGAUCUCCUUUGACAUGGAAUCUGAAGAAAGGGCUAACAGGCCGAUGCACCACUUUCAGAACUACAGUCAAUUUGGGUUCACAGCGAUUAGCUCGGGUUACUAUGAGACUCUGAUGUCUUGCUCUUGUAGUAGUACCAGCAAGGAAUUGACUGAUGAAGAGAAGGCACUUACCGGUAUUUCGCCAGGGCUGGUGAGGAUGCCCAUUGGAUACAUUGGGACACUGCAGAAGAAGUGGAGUCCAUUAGAAAAGGCGCUCUCUAUUAUGCACGAUUCCACCUUAUUCAAUAAAAACUAAAGUUCUUUCAUCUCGUGUUCAAUAAUGGGUUGGUCGUAGUUCAUGUAAUGAAGGUUUCAUUUGUUCUAUUUCAGUUGUUAAUGUAAGUCAUAGAGAUAAUAUAGAUGGUUAAAAAAAAAAAAAAGAAAAGAACUAUAUAUAUGUAGAAGUGUGGAUCGAAUAAAUUUGGAAUUAAUUCUGUAAAUGUUCAUGUAGACAUUAAUGCAAAUUUGAAAAAACAUAUAUGAUUUGUGUUGUCAUAUUUUUUAUUUUUUAUAAAAAGGAGAUUACAAUAUGAUGAUAAAAAAUCAUGAAAAAUAAGCUAUAACGACUUACUGGAUGCCAUUUAAAUUGUCUAUACAUGCAAAAUAUCACAAAAAAUAAGUUAUCAUGUAUAUUUUGUUUCUCUCUUUUUGUUUCUUUUGUAUACUUUAUUUAUCAUCAUCACUGUCCGGAUAUACAUUAGCAUGUGGAAUUAGAGGGAAAAUUAUACUAUCAUAUCUUUUCUGACUAUGCAAAACUUAUAUAUACAUAUAUAUAUAUAUAUAUAUCUGUUGCACUUGCAUCCUUAUCUUAUUUAUUUGUUUGUUUAUUUCCUUUGUAUCUAUACAUAUUUAAACCAUAAAAUUAUAUAUUGAAGCUAAUUACAAUAUUAUUUUUUUAACAGAAAUUCAGCAUGAUUCAUUCAUGUGCCCAACGUAUAAACAAAGAACGAAAUGAUUCUUGCUCUCAACAUACUCCAUCAUGAUUACAAUAUUAGUAGUAUUUCUUUUUGGCUUUGAUGAAAAUGACAAAGUCCUCCUUGAAUUUGUUAGAAAAAUAAGGUCCAGCCUCAUGUAAGUGGUUUUAGACCAAGUAAAGGUUAUGAGCCUUGAUCUUUCAUUUUACACAGACAUAUAGUUACUUAAUAAAAAAGAGGUGGGGUUAUUUUAAGUGGGUGUCGAAAACCAAGUAAAGAAAAAAGAAAAGUAAAAAAAAAUAGAGAAAAAAGAAAGAAAGAAGAGUUGGUUGAACAGAAGUCGAUCUGUGGUCCGAUUGAGUUGGAACCUUGUCAGGAGGUUUAUGAUUCAGAGUUCUACAUUCUGAACGGUGAAGAUCGAGUAUAAAGCUCUCUAGGAACAAAUCCAUGGUGUAUUUAUUGAGUAACUUAUUUGGUUAGAUUUCUCAAAUUGUUUCUCUAGUUGUUGAUUAGCUCUAGUUUUAGCUAGAGAAGAACUUUGUAUACCUAUUAUUUGAUAGUGAAGAUUUUUCUGGUGGUUCGUGAUUUUUUUCUCUACAUUGGAGGGUUUUUUACGUAAAUCUUGGUGUACUUUAUUUUUUUUUGCGUUUUUUGAUUACUGAUUGUUGUCUAUUAUUUCUGUAUUAUUAUGAUUAUUACUUCAGGUGCAACAAGUGAUAUCAGAAUGAGGGUUAUUUUGAAACAUCGAUACAUAAGCAACCUCGGAUAAAAGUAAAUUAUGUUUGAGAUCAUGAAGGGUGAUACAGGUUUCUUGAUAAAAUUAACAACAUCGAAUUAUUCAAUUUGAAAGUCUAUGAUGGAGGAUCAUCUAUACUGUAAAGAUUUGUAUGAGCCAGUAUUGGGUGAUUCAACUAAACCAACAGAAUAAAAGAUGAAAGCUGAAAGAAGCUAGGUAAAAAGAUGCUAGCUACAAUCAAAAAAUAGGUUGAUAUAAGUGUGUUCCAUCAUGUAACGCAGGAGUCAGAUGCUCACAUUGUUUGAAAAAAAUUGACAGCAUUGCAUGAGAGAAAAAUAGGUAUGAAUAAAGUUAUGCUUGUUAAAAAGCUUACAAUUUUACAGUACAGGGAUGAACGAUCUGUUACAAAGCACUUGAGUGAUUUUCAAGAUAUAUUUAAUCGGAUGACUACUAUGGUACUUAAGAUGGAUGAUGAAAUGAAGACGUUAUUUCUUUUGGGUUCAUUGUCAAACAGUUGAAAUACUCUAGUUGUGACUGUUCUUAAUUCAGCUCCUGAUUAUAAGGUGACAUUGGAAAUGGUAAAGGACAAUAUGCUUAAUGAAGAAGCAAGAUGAAAAGAUGUAGACCCUGAAAAUCAAGCUCUGGUCACAGAAAACAGGGAUAGAAAUAUCGACAGAGGUCAUGACUCAAAAAGUCAUAGUAAGUCUAAACAUAGAUCCCAGUCUAGAGGUAAAGUGAAGUGUUGCUAUUGUGGUAAGGCAUGUUAUAUAAAAUGAAACUGUAAAAUCUUGAAGCAAGAGCGAAAAGAUAAGAAAGGUAAGAGUUCAGAUGAUGGUAACGUUAUAGCAGUGAAUUCAGAUAGUGAUUCAGUUACUUUGAUUUGUACACAUGAUGAUUGUAAUCAUAUUAGUGAUCCCGACAUUAAGUGGAUAGUUGACACAGGAAUAACAUAUCAUUGUAUUUCUAAGAGAGAGUUAUUUACAACUUACAAAGCAAGAGACUUUAGUUGUACUAAAAUAAAAAACAUGAGUGUGUCGUAGAUUGUUAAGAUUGAUGAUAUUGUUGUACAAACUAGUACAGGCUACAUGUUAACUUUGAGGGAUAUCAGACACAUUUCAGAUAUGAGAAUGAACUUGCUUGCUAUUAAUAUCUUUGAUAAGGAGGGAUAUGAAAGUCGACAAAAGAAUAGACAAUGAAAGCUUUUCAAAAGAUCUAUAGUAGUUGCAAGAGAAAAAUUAUGCUGCACAAUAUAUAAGACAUGGAUGUAAUUGAACGGUAACCAGGUAAAUGCCAUUAAAAAUGAUGCUUCAACAAACUUAUGGCACAGGAGGCUAGCACACAUGAGUGAAAAAAGUUUACAGGUUUUGGCAAAGCCAUCUCUUAUUUCCUUGACCAAAAGUAUGUCUCUCGAUUCAUGUAAUUAUUGUUUGUUUGGUAAGCAUCAUAGAGUUUUUUUUCGUAAAAGUUCUCAGAGAAAAAAAAGAUUGAAAUUAAUUUAUUCUGACAUAUGUGGUCCCAUUGAGGUUAAGUCAUUAGGUGGUAGCAGAUAUUUUAUUACUUUUGUUGAUGAUGCUUCACGUAAGACUUGGGUGUAUAUGUUGAAAUACAAAAGUCAGGUACUACAGUAUUUUUAAAAAUUUUAUAUCAUGGUUGAAAAGAUGACAAAGUUAUCCUUGAAGUGUAUUCGAACUGAUAAUAGUAGGGAAUACACAUCUAAAUGCUUUGAAGAGUAUUGUUCAAAGUAUAAGAUCAGGCAUAAGAUGAUAGAACCUGGAACACCGUAGCAUAAUGGUAUAACUGAAAGAAUGAAUCGUACCAUUAUGAAAAAAGUCAAAUGUAUGUUGAGGAUGAAAAAAUUACCAAAGCCAUUCUGGGGUAAAACAGUUAACACGACUUGUUAUUUACUUAACAGAUCACCAUCAGUUCUUUUGAGCUUUGACAUUUCAGAAAGAGUGUAGACAAGAAAAGAUACUUUAUACUCUCACUUGAAAGUUUUUGGGUGUAAAGCAUUCAUGCAUGUGUCGAAAGAGCAGAGAUCAAAGCUUGACAGUAAAGCCACACAGUGUGUGUUUGUAGGAUAUGAUGAAAAAUUUGAUUACAGGGUAUAAAAUCCAGUAAAGAAAAAGACAAUCAAAAGUAAAGAUGUAAUCUUUCAUGAAAAAAAAAUCAUAGCAGACCUUGAAAAAAAUGAGAAGACUACACGAGUUACUGUUGAGUAUGAUAUUUUAACACCGACAGAGAUUCCACAGAAAGAGCCACAAAUGGUGAAAAUGAGCAAGAAACAGAACUUGGAAAUAUGAAUAAGCUAGCCACAGUUGGUGAUGAGCCAGAUGUAAUUAGUUUUGAACAAGAUGAGCAAUCCUCUCUACCUGAGAGUGUUGAACAUGAGGAGUUACCUUUGGCAUCAAGUGAUAUAGAAUCUCAGCUUAGGAGAUCUACUAAAGAGUACAAGCCAUCUAUCAGGUAUCUAAGUUCAGAUUUUAUUUUAGUUACCAGUAAAUGAGAGCCAGAAAGCUUUCAAGAUGUACAGGCUAUUUCGGAUAGAGAGUACUGGUUAAAAGUAAUAAAAAAAUAGAUGAAAUCAUUGCAAAAGAAUGAUACUUACGAUCUUAUUAAACUUCUAACAGGGAAGAGGCCAUUAAAGAAUAAAUGAGUAUUCAAGUUGAAAAAAGAUGGUGAUAAACUAGUGAGGUACAAAGCUCGAUUGGUAGUAAAAUGGUUUUCUCAGAAAUCGGGCAUCGAUUUUAAUGAGAUUUUUACUCCAGUUGUAAAGAUGAGUUCUAUUCGAGUGGUACUGGGAUUAAUAGCUAGUUUAAAUCUUGAGCUUGAGCAACUUAAUAUUAAAACUAUAUUUUUGCAUGGUGAUUUACAUGUGGACAUUUAUAUUAAUCAGCUUGAGGGUUUUAAAGUGAAAGGGAAAGAGCACUUAGUUUACAAAUUGAAAAAAAAACUUGUAUGGCUUGAAACAAGCUCCGCGAUAGUGGUACAAGAAGUUUGAUUCUUUUAUGGUGAGUCAUAGCUAUAAAAAAUAACAGCUGAUUCUUGUGUGUAUGUUAAACAAUUUUCUAAUGGUAACUUCAUUAUCCUAUUAUUAUAUGUUGAUGAUAUGUUAAUUGUAGGAUAAGAUGCUAGUAUGGUUUACAGGUUGAAAGAACAAUUGUCUAAGUCUUUUGAUAUGAAAGAUUUAGGUUCAGUAAAACAGAUUCUUGGUAUGAACAUUAUCCGAGAUAAAAGAGCUAAAAAGCUAUGGUUGUCAUAGGAAAAGUAUGUUGAACGAGUGCUUGGUAGAUUUAACAUGCAACAUGCUAAAUCAGUUAGCAGUCCAAUUACCAAUCAUUUUUAUCUAAGUAAGAAAUCUUGUCCAGUGUCUAAGGAAGAGUAACUAGCUAUGUCUAGUAUUCCUUAUUCUUCUGCGGUUGGUUCUUUAAUGUAUCUUAUGGUUUGUACAAGGCCUGAAAUUACUCAUGUAAUUAGUGUAGUGAGCAUAUUUCUUUCUAAUUCGAAAAAAAGUUCAUUGAAAAGUAGUGAAAUUGAUUUUUAGAUAUUUGAGAGGUACCUUAAAAAUGUGCUUGACUUAUAAAGUUUCACAACCAGUUUUAGAAGGGUUUACGAAUGCUGAUAUGGCAGACGAUCUUGAUGGUAGAAAAUCUACUUCAGGGUAUUUGUUCACUUUUACAGGAAGAAUUGUAUCUUGGCAAUCUAAGUUACAGAAGUGUGUUGCUUUAUCAAUUACAGAGAUUGAGUAUAUUACAGUAAUUAAAGCAUGUAAAAAAAUGCUUUGGAUGAAACGUUUUCUUUUUGAAUUGAGGUUGAAUCAGAAAGAGUAUGUGAUAUUUUGUGAUAACCAGAGUACUUUAGAUUUGAGUAAGAAUACCAUGUACCAUGCUAGAACAAAGCACAUUGAUGUUAGAUAUCAUUGGUUAUGUUCAGUGAUUGAAGAACAACGAUGCUAUUGAAGAAAGUUCAUACUGAUAAGAAUAUAGUAGAUAUGUUGACUAAGAUACUUCCAAGAAAAAAGCUUGAGCUUUGCAGUAACUUGGCCGGAAUGAGUUCCCUGGCCAAGGUAAGUUCCAAAUGAAACUGCUAUGGUGAUGAAUCUCCUUUUAAUGGGGCUGGAUGGGGAGAUUGUUAUGAAAAUGGGGUCCAACCUCAUGUAAGUGAUUUUGGACCAAGUAAAGGCCAUAGGCCUUGAUCUUUCAUUUUACAUAGAGUCCUAGCUACUUAAUAAAAAAGAGGUGGGGUUGUUUUAAGUGGGUGGCAAAAACCAAGUAGAGAAAGAAGAAAAGCCAAAAAAAAUAGAGAGAAAAAAGAGAAUGGAGAGUUGGUUGAACGAAAAUCGAUCCGUGGUCCGAUUGAGUUGGAACAUUGUCAAGAGAUUUAUGAUUAAGAGUUCUACAUUCUGAACAGUGAAGAUCGGGUUUGAAGCUCUCUAGGAACAAAUUCAUGAUAUAUUUGUUGAGUCACUUAUUUGGUAAAAUUUCUCAAAUUAUUUCUCUAGUUGUUGAUUAGCUCUAGUUUUAGCUAGAGAAGAACUUUGUAUAUUUAUUAUUUGAUAGUGAAGAUUUUUUUGGUGGUCCGUGAUUUUUUUCCUCUACACUAGAGGGUUUUUUACGUAAAUCUUGGUGUGCUUUAUUUUUUCUAUAUUUUUUUAUUAUUGAUUAUUAUUUAUUGCUUUUGUAUUGUUGUGAUUAUUGCUUCAGGCGUAACGAAAUUUGUCAAAACCCGACUUUCUUCUUUGUCAAAUCUAGACAUCUUGUCUUUGGUCCAAAUAAAAGGAUUACCCUGCUUUCAAAUACCUAACCUUUCAUAUCUCCACUUUCCGAUUACUAAUAAUAUGGGAUAUAGUAAUACAGUUUAUAAGUUAAUAGUAAUAAUUAAGCGGUGUUUUUCUCUUCAUAUCUCCUCUUUCCUUCGAAGGGAUAUUUGAAAGUAUGGAGGUACAUAACUGGAAAUAAGAAGAGUUCAUCUUGUAUGUAUGAUCCAGAAUCGAUGAAGACACUCAACCUUAAAAAAAAAAAAAAUGAGGUGCUGGCCUGCUGGUGAUCAGAUAAGAACAUUUUGCACGUUGUUAUCAGCAAAUAGAACGUGCCCAUGGUUGUCACUUGUCAGAAUCUUGAUGAAGUGGCAGAUAAACUUCCACUUGGAACGUGAUGCGUUUACAAAUUUUCUCGGAAGGGGAUAUCUUUUUUUUUUCUUUUCAAUUUCUAACUAACAGGGUUUUAUCAAUGAAAAUGUGGCAUAUUGUAGUUGCAGAUCAUGUCUCAUUAAGACAAUUUCAAAGCCAGAUAAGUAAAGAAAGGAAAAUCAUACUGGAAUUAUACAAGUCGUAAUGACAGAAUAUUACUUGUUAGAAUUAAUUUCAAUCAAAUUUUGGUUAUAAUCAAAAGUCAAAAUAGAGAUAUGACUUCACAAAAACGAUCUAACAAUUUGAUACGACACUGCUACGUGUUUGCGUUUGUAACAUCCUUUAAAAUGUCGUCUCUGUUAGUUUAUUGCAACGUCAAUAACUUAAAUUUGGUUUGACGAUUACCUACUUCUCUCGCCUUUCUCCAAUCUAAUAGAUAAAUAGUAGAAGUGCCGACUCCUUUUGAACUGUUGAUGUUGGCAUAUGGUUUUAUAGUUUUCUCCUUUACGCUUUCCACUCCAUGCACUAAUUAUGACCAAAUAGUCAAAAACAUACCUAUAGAUAUCUAUCUGCAUGUUUUGGAAGACUAAAGAAUAUUUAUUUGUCUUAAAAAAAAUUUACUAGCUGUUGUGUGUGAAAAGAGAGUUGCGAAGGCGUCGGUAAUAAUUUUAGGGUUGGGAUGGGUAAAUUAUAGGUUUAGAUAAUUUUUUAUUUUUGAGAAUCUAAUUACGAAAAGUUAUGAUUUGAUCAUUAAAAUUUAUGAAAAAUUUUUUUAUCAUUCAAUUAUUAGAAAUUAAUUAACGAAAUGUUGACAUAAUAUUAUGGUAUCAUUUGUCAAAAUGUCGUAUAAUAUUGCUUUGACAUUCGAUAUAUCAUAUGACACUAUUUGCGUAGCAUAAUAAGUUUUGAAAAUUAAACAAGAUAAAUUACAUUUUUAAUCUCUUAACUUUUUGAAAGUUUUUAUUGUUUUAAUCCAACUUUGAAAACUUUACAAUUUGAUUAUUAAUGUUUUUGAAAUUAUUCAUAUUUUUAAUAUUUUGUUACAUGAAAGUAAUGCUACAAAUUUUUAUUUUUAUUAGGAUGUUGUCGUUAUAAAAUAUUUAAUAUUUAAUAUUUAAUAUUUCAUUUAAGUUUUCUUGAUUGGUUAAUGUAAUAUAUUAAAAUACUUAAAUUUAUUUGAGUGAGCUGGAUGACAAAUACUUUUAAGUAAUGCUAAUCAAGUAAAUUUAGCAAUUGGCUUUAAUCAUAUUCUUUUUAAAUUUAAAGGGUAUAAUAAUUUUAAUUUUAUGCACUAAAAAUAUUGAUUGCUCAUUUUUUUAAUAAAGUUCAAAACUUUAUUUGAAUAUUAUCUUAGUAUCUUUCAAUAUAGAUAACAAAAAUAACAUAACAAUUUAUUAUUUUAAUAAAAAAUUGUUGAUUAAAUUGUUAUAAAGUCAUGUGACAAUGAGACAUUGAAAAAUUUUUCAGGAGCAUGUCAACUACAAUUGGGUGACCAAAAAUAAAUUCAUAAAGCUAAUAACUAAAUUUUAACUUUUCAUAAUUAAUGAUCAAAAUAAAAAAUCGUCUAAAGGUGAAUGAUUAAAAGUGUAAUAUAUUAUCGUUAAAAAAUACGUGUUAACCCUUCAAAAAAAUUGUUAAUUGGCAUAUACAUGAUAUUGUAAUAUUGUAAUUAAUAUGAAUUAAUUAAAUAUUUAUUUAUUCAAAAAAAUCACCUACAAAGUCUUUAUAAGCAAACAUCUAAAUAAUUAAUAAUGUCAUAUUUUAAUUUGAAUAUCUCGAUUUCAAAUCAUAUAAAUAAAGAAUUUGUAGAAUGCGAAAAAAAAUACCUUUUUUUUUUAUAAAUUAUUAUAUGUUAAAAUUAAAAUAUUGAACAAAUAACUGAGUAAUUGAAAAACAUGGUAAAAUUUUCAAAAUUUUCAACCCAUUUAUCGGAAAAAAAAAAGUUGUAACCCUUAUUUUUGGUAACCCCUACGAGGUUAUAACUUUAGGUAAAUGUAUAUAGGAAAUUUCCGAAAUCCCUAAUAAAAAACAGAUUAGAUUCACUGGAUUUUAUUUUAAGAAAAAGUUUAGGUAAUGUCACAUAAGAUAAUAUUUUACUUUUUUUAUAAUUAAAAUUAUCAAAAUUUAAAUUUGAUUAUUGAUCGCAGCACUAACUAUUUUGUCUAUCUCUUCCCCAGACGGCUCUUUAAUUCCUUCUCCUUAAUAAUUUUAUUUCAUCUUUCAAUUUUGCCAUUAACAUUUACGUCCCCACCAACAAAACCCAAACAACAAAAAAAGGAGCGAAAGAUUUCUUGGAGGUUGGUUCAAUCUUGAUUCCCGUUCCCUCUAGAAUUAAUUAUGGAAGAAACAGAGAACCCUGGCUUUGUUUUUACCGGAAAGAAGAGAGCUGCAGGGGCUGAUGGAUUUGACGGGGAUGAUCUUUUCGUGGCCAAGACAUCAACCCUAGCACCAGCAUGGGAAAAUGACCCUGCCGCUGCAUUAGCCAGCGCGCGCCAUGAAUUCGGUGAGCAUGGUGGCGUUAACAUGUCUAUUGAGGCCUCCGCCACAUUCACCGUCAUGGAACCUGAGACCAUGCGCCGCAUGUUUGCUGGUGAACUCGGCCCUGAUCGUGAUUUCUUCAUUUAUAGCCGUCACUUCAAUCCCACUGUCUUAAAUCUCGGUCGUCAGAUGGCAGCCAUGGAAGGAACCGAAGCUGCCUAUUGCACUGCCAGCGGUAAUUAAUUUUUCUGUUUCACUUUCACUUUUUAUUUCACACGUAAAAAUCUAAAAAACAUUAUUAUCAAAACCUUCAAUUUGAUGGUUAAUAAUUUGAUUUCGUGAUUACAGGUAUGUCUGCUAUUUCAUCCGUGCUGUUGCAGCUCUGCAGCAGCGGUGGACACGUGGUGGCAUCGAGGACUCUCUACGGCGGGACCUAUGCACUCCUAACCCAUUUCUUGCCCAGAGCCUGUAACAUCACGACCACGUUCGUGGACAUAUGCGAUCACGAAGCGGUGAAAAAUGCCAUCGUCGAAGGACGGACCAAAGUUUUGUACUUCGAGUCCAUGUCGAACCCUACACUCGCUGUAGCCAACAUUCCGGAGCUAAGCAGGCUAGCACACGACAAAGGAACCAUGGUGGUUGUAGACAACACCUUCGCUCCCAUGGUUCUUUCCCCUGCUCGGCUUGGUGCUGAUGUGGUUCUCCAUAGUAUCUCCAAGUUCAUCAGUGGUGGGGCCGAUGUUAUUGCAGGUUUGUUUGUCUCUUUUUUGUCAUUUACCGUACACGAGUCACACAUUAUUAGGUUGGAAAAAGAGCCAUCAAUUACGUGUAAUCUUCUGAUUAAUCAAGUUAAAUGGUUGAAUCUAGGAAUUGACUUCAGAGUUUCGAUGAAAAUUGGCUUUUUCCAAAAAAAAAGAAAAGAAGAAAAAAAAAUACUACCAUGAAUUGAGGAUUCUUAAUCAUAAAAUAAAAUGGGAAAUGAAUAUAGUCUACCAUAGUCCAAAAGUUUCGUUUUCUAGCUAUCUUUUUUAUGGUUGAUAAGGCUAUUCUCCUGCAAUUUCUCUAAUUUUUCAGUUUUUCACCGAUAAGAUCAUUAUCUUGAGGUGUGCGUUUCGAUCCUCCGUUUCCUCUUAUGGAUAAGCGUUCAUGUGAAGUGUUUUGUAUUUUUUAUUUUUCUGAUAAAUUCUGUAUACCAACUUAAAGUUUCAGGGCCUUAAAUUUGACAUUUCUAGUUGAAAAGUUAUAUAUCCCUUCUACAAAAGUUUUUAAUAAUCUUUUGCCCUAAUGUUGUUACCUUGCUAACUUCUAGGCAAAGCUAGAUUGCCAAAAACAUUAGUUCUUGUGAAAUAUAAAUGCUUUUUUAGUCAGUUUAUUGAUAUUGGAAUAUAGUAACUAUUAUUGACCGAGAAUCCUGGAAGUGUAGAUAUGCAUUUUGUUAAUCCAAUAAAAUGAGAAAUUUCAGGUGCUGUUUGUGGUCCUGCAAGCCUGAUGAACUCCAUGAUGGACCUUCAUCAAGGUGCUUUGAUGCUCCUAGGCCCGACCAUGAACGCCAAGGUUGCCUUUGAACUCUCUGAAAGGAUACCUCACUUGGGCCUAAGAAUGAAGGAGCACUGCCACAGAGCCAUGGAUUAUGCGACUAGAAUGAAGAAAUUGGGACUCAGGGUCAUCUACCCGGGCCUUGAGGAUCACCCUCAACACGAGCUAUUGAAGUCCAUGGCCAACAAGGAAUAUGGGUUUGGUGGUCUUCUUUGUGUUGACAUGGAAUCUGAAGAAAGAGCUAACAGGCUGAUGCACCACUUGCAGAACUACAGUCAUUUUGGGUUCAUGGCUGUUAGCUUGGGUUACUACGAGACUCUGUUGUCUUGCUCUGGUAGUAGUACGAGCAGUGAAAUGAAUGCUGAAGAGAAGGCCCUUGCCGGUAUUUCGCCAGGGCUGGUGAGGAUGUCCAUUGGAUACAUUGGGACACUGGAGCAGAAGUGGAGGCAAUUAGAAGAGGCGCUCUCUAGGAUGUAGGAUUCCACCUCAUUCAAUAAAAACUUAAGUUCU